UCUAAUACCACUGUUAGAUUUUAGGGUGGUUUCAUGCAUGUAUUUUAAAAUUUUUUAAAUUUAUAGCAAAAAUAAAAAUUCAGAUUAAACACUUUAAUCUAAUCAUGCAUCAGAUUUAAUUUGCUAAACCACUUGUCAUGGAUCUAUGAAUAUGAAACAUUCGAUCUAGAAAAUCUGAUUAUGAAAAAUAUAAAGGAAAUAAAUGAG
RNAcentral lists this long non-coding RNA (207 nucleotides) under Elaeis guineensis (African oil palm). RNAcentral's name for it is "long non-coding RNA (EGUI_LNC030992)". The record is from RNAcentral. Lineage: Eukaryota; Viridiplantae; Streptophyta; Magnoliopsida; Arecales; Arecaceae.